Molecule: ribosomal RNA, 495 nt
Filed under: uncultured bacterium
Lineage: Bacteria
Description: bacterial SSU rRNA
Rfam family: Bacterial small subunit ribosomal RNA
Source: RNAcentral
GAUGAACGCUAGCGACAGGCUUAAUACAUGCAAGUCGUGGGGCAGCAUGAGUAGCAAUACUUGAUGGCGACCGGCAAACGGGUGAGGAACACGUACACAACCUUCCUUCAAGCGGGGAAUAGCCCAGAGAAAUUUGGACUAAUACCCCAUAAUAUAUUUGAUAAGGCAUCUUAUUAAUAUUAAAGCUUCGGCACUUGACGAUGGGUGUGCGGCUGAUUAGAUAGUUGGCGGGGUAACGGCCCACCAAGUCUACGAUCAGUAGCUGAUGUGAGAGCAUGAUCAGCCACACGGGCACUGAGACACGGGCCCGACUCCUACGGGAGGCAGCAGUAAGGAAUAUUGGACAAUGGACGAAAGUCUGAUCCAGCCAUGCCGCGUGAAGGAUUAAGGUCCUCUGGAUUGUAAACUUCUUUUAUAUGGGACGAAAAAGGGCGAUUCUUGUUCACUUGACGGUACCAUAUGAAUAAGCACCGGCUAACUCCGUGCCAGCAGCCG